GACGAACGCUGGCGGCGUGCUUAACACAUGCAAGUCGAACGGAAAGGCCCUGCUUUUGUGGGGUGCUCGAGUGGCGAACGGGUGAGUAACACGUGAGUAACCUGCCCUUGACUUUGGGAUAACUUCAGGAAACUGGGGCUAAUACCGGAUAGGCGCUCCUGCUGCAUGGUGGGGGUUGGAAAGUUUCGGCGGUUGGGGAUGGACUCGCGGCUUAUCAGCUUGUUGGUGGGGUAGUGGCUUACCAAGGCGUUGACGGGUAGCCGGCCUGAGAGGGUGACCGGCCACAUUGGGACUGAGAUACGGCCCAGACUCCUACGGGAGGCAGCAGUGGGGAAUAUUGCACAAUGGGCGGAAGCCUGAUGCAGCAACGCCGCGUGCGGGAUGACGGCCUUCGGGUUGUAAACCGCUUUCGCCUGUGACGAAGCGUGAGUGACGGUAAUGGGUAAAGAAGCACCGGCUAACUACGUG
RNAcentral lists this ribosomal RNA (468 nucleotides) under uncultured bacterium. Its description in RNAcentral is "partial 16S ribosomal RNA". It matches the Rfam family "Bacterial small subunit ribosomal RNA", at positions 28 to 507 of the family's 1533-position model. The record is from RNAcentral.